UACGGAGGGUGCGAGCGUUAUUCGGAAUUACUGGGCGUAAAGAGCGUGCAGGCGGGAGGGUGGGUCUGAUGUGAAAGACCGUGGCUUAACCCCGGAAGAGCAUUGGAAACUGUUCUUCUUGAGUUUCGGAGAGGAAGGGUGAAUUUCCGGUGUAGAGGUGAAAUUCGUAGAGAUCGGGAGGAACACCAGUGGCGAGUGCGCCCUUCUGUACGACAACUGACGCUGAGACGCGAAAGCGUGGGGAGCAAACAGG
RNAcentral lists this ribosomal RNA (253 nucleotides) under uncultured bacterium. RNAcentral describes it as "partial 16S ribosomal RNA". It matches the Rfam family "Bacterial small subunit ribosomal RNA", at positions 524 to 776 of the family's 1533-position model. The record is from RNAcentral.